This is a long non-coding RNA of Varanus komodoensis (Komodo dragon), 1179 nucleotides long. RefSeq lists it as uncharacterized. The transcript is spliced from 2 exons. NCBI's taxonomy places the organism in Eukaryota, Metazoa, Chordata, Lepidosauria, Squamata, Varanidae. The record is from RefSeq and is a predicted model, not a curated record.
UCCGGGAACCCUCCAUGAAAGAAAUUAGGAGACUUCAAGAAUAAGCUGAAGCUGGAAAGUUUAUUUUCGAUCAUUUGGCAGCGUGUCGAUCUCGCCCUUUCACAGGGGCCCGACCAACGAGUCCCUUCCCGCCAGCGCCGAGCGUCUCCCCCAAGUGGGGCGGCCAAGGGGGAGACUUACGGGGACUGAAGAGCUAAACUGCGCAGAGUUGCAAGGCGGAUCAGGCCUGAGUCAUACAAGCCGCCCCCCUUCUCCUCCUACCCGCCUUGCUUACCCUACGGCCAGUCUUUGCUUGCCCUCCCACCGCCGCACCGGAGGGAUGAGAGCGCCCCUCGAUCCAGUUCGCAAAGGGGCCUAACGUGGGGAGGGCGCCACGACACCGGGAGACGCGGGCACGUGCGCGGGGACUUACAGGCAGGCAGCAUAGGAAGGAGCAAGCAUAGCGUACGUCCGAAAGAGCCCGACAUGUCGUAGAAGGUUUGCUCUCCUGCUUUCGCUUUCGCAAAGCGCGAAACGCGGGGUGGGACCCAACGGAAAGUCAGAAGAGGAAGAAGAGUCGUCUUCGUAACCUUUUAAUUCGCUCGUAAUGGAUGAAAGGGCAGUCUAUUGCUCCUAAGGACAGGGGCGACUGUGGAAGGGGAUGCGGGAAAGAGUUUCAGUGAGGCCGCCGUGCUGCCAGCCGCCUUGUUCUUAUCUUCGACGCCCCCCGAUGCUGCUUUCCCGUCCCUCGCCGCUAUCUUUCCGCUGCAGCCUUCCCCAACCUGCCGUUUUGCCGCACCCGUUAGUCCCCGCCAGCGUGGCUUGGAGUCCUUGAAACGGCGUGCGAAACAUCUGGAAGGAAACGCAGUUAGGGAAGGCUGCACCCUGAUCCCAUAUGCCCUUCUUUCUUCUUCGCUUCCAGCUCAAAAAAGCCUCCCUUUUUUCAGAGAUUUCUUCGGCUUGGAGCUGUCCUGGAGGCUUUAUUUUCCCCAGCUUCUUCCCAAGCUGCCCUGUUUGCCACAACCCGGUUUCCAGGUCCGCUUGCACCCGAGCUUAAACAACGGUGGUGGCCCAAACAGAACUGCACGGAGGACUUCGCUGUUCCCUGACGCCUCCACUCCCACGUGGCAAAGUUGUGGGUUGCAAGUUCCUUGAAGCAGGAAGCAGGUUUUAAUAAAAACAACACGUGCGUAAUUGAAA